This 583-nucleotide long non-coding RNA is filed under the name Monodelphis domestica (gray short-tailed opossum). RNAcentral describes it as "lncRNA (ENSMODG00000034571.2)". Lineage: Eukaryota; Metazoa; Chordata; Mammalia; Didelphimorphia; Didelphidae. The record is from RNAcentral.
GCCUCUGGCCUAGGCACGUGUUUUUUCUUACCCUGUAUUUUCUUUAAUCCUUAAUCUUCAAUAAACCUCUAAAAAAUAUAAUACUCCGUGCAGAGAGAAACUAAUUUCUACCUGCCUCAGUCUCCCCGUCUCCCCUAAAUUUUAAUCUUUACAAGUGGGACCCUUGUGGAGGUAGAAAUGUACAAUACUGGUGUAAUCUAGUUACUUGGGGAAAUAAUAUAAAUGAAGACAGAAGAAAGCAACAUAAUUCACAUAGAGUAUUGAUGUACAAGCUCUUCAUAUGAUGAAUGUUGUACACUGAUACUACUCAGAAUGCUGAUGUUUUUUCUUCUCUUGUAUUUUGAUUGUUUCAUGCAGUGAGAUUUUUUUUUAAAUUAGAAAGACUUGUCUUUCUUUCUCUCUCCCUUCUACAGGAAUACAUCCAUCAGUGUCAGCAGGGAGUCCUGAAACAGUCUGGAGAUUUUCCAUCUGUCUGUGCUGCUGUUUUAGCUUUUCUUGGCCUGAUGAAAAAGUAGUACAAACAAUGCGACAUUUUCUUUCCUGGACCAGAAACCCUUUAAGAGCAAUCCAGGAUACUAUUUAA